AUUGAACGCUGGCGGCAUGCCUUACACAUGCAAGUCGAACGGUAACGGGCCUUCGGGUGCCGACGAGUGGCGAACGGGUGAGUAAUACAUCGGAACGUGCCCGAUCGUGGGGGAUAACGAGGCGAAAGCUUUGCUAAUACCUCAUACGAUCUACGGAUGAAAGCAGGGGACCGCAAGGCCUUGCGCGGACGGAGCGGCCGAUGGCAGAUUAGGUAGUUGGUGGGAUAAAAGCUUACCAAGCCGACGAUCUGUAGCUGGUCUGAGAGGAUGAUCAGCCACACUGGGACUGAGACACGGUCCAGACUCCUACGGGAGGCAGCAGUGGGGAAUUUUGGACAAUGGGCGCAAGCCUGAUCCAGCCAUGCCGCGUGCAGGAUGAAGGCCUUCGGGUUGUAAACUGCUUUUGUACGGAACGAAAAGCCUUCUUUUAAUACAGGAGGGUCAUGACGGUACCGUAAGAAUAAGCACCGGCUAACUACGUG
This 482-nucleotide ribosomal RNA is filed under the name uncultured bacterium. RNAcentral describes it as "partial 16S ribosomal RNA". It matches the Rfam family "Bacterial small subunit ribosomal RNA", at positions 30 to 507 of the family's 1533-position model. The record is from RNAcentral.